Molecule: non-coding RNA, 90 nt
Organism: Notechis scutatus (mainland tiger snake)
Lineage: Eukaryota; Metazoa; Chordata; Lepidosauria; Squamata; Elapidae
Source: RefSeq, a predicted model, not a curated record
AGGGUCCCCUUGAUCUUUGUCAUUCAGGAGGAAGAAAAAUAACACAUCAGUAUUGCAGGUACUAAACAGAUAAAUCAAUUUCAACAAAGU